GGGAAGCCCUGACAUGUGAAUCAUCACAUUUCUUGGUGUUUGUUUGAGAAAAGACACCCUUGAAUAUGGCUCUCCGUCAGAUGGUCUGCCUGUUUUGUGCGCUCACUUUACUCUUCAGCAGCAUACAGGGCGGUACGUACAAAUCCAGUUUUGAUCCAAAACCUGAGUCAUGUUGUACUAAAGUAAGUCCUGUGUGCAGUUUGAAUCCAGAAAAAAUCACUCGGUGUAUCAUCUCUUCAAAAUAUGGGAGAUGUAUCCCUGCUGUCCACUUGUUUGGUAGAAAUAAGGCGUGCUGUGUCCCAAAGAGAUCAAAGUGGGUUCUGGGUGUGAGAAGGGAAUUAAGAAAGAAAGGGAAACUAUGUGAGCACGCCACAAUGCCUAUCCCCAACUUCAUGCUCUGAGCCCUUUCAGCUAACGGAUACAGACUUCAGCUUCUUUUGGAGCAAUGUUACUGCUAAAUGAGAGCCAGUGAAGUUGAACUGAUUUGAUAGUAAAAGGAA
This is a long non-coding RNA of Sardina pilchardus (European sardine), 500 nucleotides long. RefSeq lists it as uncharacterized. The transcript is spliced from 4 exons. The record is from RefSeq and is a predicted model, not a curated record. NCBI's taxonomy places the organism in Eukaryota, Metazoa, Chordata, Actinopteri, Clupeiformes, Clupeidae.